AUGUCUGGUGAUUUUUUUAUCCCUAAUUUCAAAUUUGUACUGACCAAGUUUCUCAUCACCCGUUCGUUUACCGGAAUUUGCUAAAGCGGCUCGGUGUAAUUUUUUUCUGCGCUUGAUAUUCGAUUUAUUUAUUUUCCAAAAUACUGAAUCCGCUAGAGGGGGGUGUGCAUUAUACUCGGGUGUGCACUAUACUCAAGAACAUAUUGUAGAUAGAGGACAAUCUACUGUAUCAUCAACACAUGUCAACGUUAGUACGCCACCUGGAAUUCACCAGGCAGAUGGCUACUAUAUCUUUUUAACUGGGAUGGAUAAUCAACAAGGCGAAGUUGGGAGUUAGUGGACGCCUCCCAUCAGGGGUGGGGUGUUCACUUACAAGACCAGAUAACCUAAGCUAUGGUCCGGCGCUCAGUGAAAGUGGCACAUAAACAACUUGGAGUUCGAAGCUUAAAUUCUGGCCUUAUCACAUUGGCAGAAUCAACUACUGUCAGCCCAACUCGCAAUAUCCAAAGACAACAGCACUGCAGUGUGGUGCUUGCACAAUCAGGGAAAAACACACUCCCACUCUCUACUUCAACAGACAUUCAGAUUUUUCCAUCUAGUGGAUCGGCUGCAACUACAGUUCAUAGUUCUGCACAUCCCAGGAUGUCGAAACAUACUGACCGGUACCUUAUCACGUCCAGACAGGGUGGCUCCCUACGAGUGGAAACUUCUCACAGAAGCAUCCCAGUUACUGCUUCAGAAGUUCAGGCAACCAACCAACCACCAACUCAUGACGUAUAUCUCCCCGUUACCGGAUCCGCAGACUUGGACGGUGGACAAGUUCAGUAUCCCUUGGGAAGGGCUAAAAGCAUACACUUUUCCGUCACCAGUUUUACUUCCAAAGGUGAUACAGGGGAUCAAGGGGACAAGGUAUCUUGCUCUCACCUUGGUCGUGCCCUGAUGACCGACAAGAGGGUGGUUUGUCGAGUUCAGAAAAAUCUAGCAGAAGACGAUCCACUAUCCCUCCCACAGUGGUCCAACCUACUCAUCCAUCCUCACAGCAAAUUGUAUCACCCAACGUCUGCACUCAUGGUUCUUCUUUUAAAGGCGUUUAAGUGUGAAGGGUUAUUUCAGCACGGGCAGCAAAGCUAUAGCUUUAGUUCAUCGUUCCUCUCUCAUUUGAGACUUUUUGCUAGGCAAAAGAAUCAAGACCCUACGAUUUCGUCACAACAAUUCCUAGCGGAAUACCUCCUACAUUUGCGUAUCCAAAGACACUUGGAAGGUAGCACCAUUACUGCGUACUUGGUUGCACUUAACUCAGUGUUGGCUGUUCCAGGAAAAUCACAAGGUGAUUAAGGUCACGGAACUACAGGCCCUAUUACGCUCAUUCAGGCUUGAGGAUCAGGAGGCUAAGUUCCGCCCACCUGCUUGGGACUUGAACGUGGUACCUACGUGGAACAAGGUUUACGAGGGCCCCCUUCUAGCCCCUCUAUGCAUCCUCAUUUUAUGACCUCACCAAGAAAACAAUGGUUUCCCCUGGCAUUAGCAAUGGCGGCACGGGUGAGUGAACUACAUGUGAUCGACACCACCCAGUUCCGCUUUGAGCAUUGGACGCACGUAGCGGUACAUCUCGGGUUAUGCUGGGAUUAUUUUUAAAAUCAGCUACCAGGCCAACCCGACUGUUCCUUCACCAUCCCACCAAUAUCGACUAUUGUGGAAGCCGUACAUGAAGGUGAACUUCUUCUGGGCUCAGUGUGAGCAGUUUGAGUUUUCAUUCGCCGCUCCAAGACUAGGCUCGGUUCGAGGAAGCGGUUAUUUAUACCCAUGUUUACUAGGUCCACGACCGAAGUUAGUCACAAAUACCAUAUCUCUAUGGUUAUGCAGUCAUCCUUCAGACCUACAAGAUCACCAAAACGGAAUCCACCGAGAGCGAAUUACCCUCACGAUCUCAGGGUGUCAGCCUUACCAUGGCUCUACACGGCAAUUGUUUUAAUAGAACAAUCAUGGAAGGAUAUUUCUGGAGGUUCGACACAGUUUUCGUUAGUCAUUAUCUACGCGUUGUGGCUCUCGAGGACGUUGAAGGCGUGCACAGUUUGGCCCUCUGGUUGUAACCAAGCAGGUUACCAACCACUGACACAAAUAAUGAACUCGCCCUAUACAGAGUUAGCCUACUUCCAUGUGCAGUCACUCAGUUGCCGCCAAGAAGAAUAUUAGACAUUCUUGUUUGUCAACGAUGGCUCUAUGAUGUAGUAAGUAAAGAAUUAGGUGAUUAGCUAUUAUUUUCUUUAUUACUAAGUGUGUAUUGGGAAUUUCUUUGUAAUUCCUAUGUUCAAUCAUUUUGAUUUUUGAACAACCCUACCGUAAUGGCGUUUUUCUUAACUUUUCCGCUUCACAGUUUAUCGACCAACUGGUGUCGUAUUUCAGGGUGUGAAUUAAUGAGGUUUCUGUAUUCUGAAGGUUUACCCACCUCCAAACCGUCCGAUACAGAUGCAUUAAGGAGUAUUACAGGAUAAGUAAAAAAUUUAGUAAAAUCUAAAUAUUAUUUACAUUUGUAUACUUAUCCUGCAUUACUACAUAUAAGGCCCACCCGUUGCACGACUUGCCUCCCCACUUUGUCACAGGACAGCGCCGGAAGGUCAGUAAAGGGACUUCAGAACAACAACUAUAUUUCUUCACCCAGGACUUUCGCAGUUGCGCUGUCCUUCUAGUUGUUGUAAGUCGCUUAAACUGAACAUAAACGAACGUGAUAUGGAGAAGGAACAUCAACGACAGAUAGUGAAGCGACGCAAAGAGAAAGAGAAAGGUUCAAGAUCCAACAAGAAAAACAAGACGUAGCCAUCAUUCCACACAACAUUGUUAAAUUCCAAUUUUUUCUGGGAACAAAUCAAAAGCUGUGUAUUUGGAUCUAGUUCACCUCUCCAUCGGAUACACAUGCACAAAGUUGGUUCUCACGCACCAUUACAAGAUGUUUCUUAUCCAAAUAUUGACAGAAAGCUGUCCAUGCAUAUAAACCUUGAUAAUAUAAUUUCAGUCAACAGGGUA
This is an RNA transcript of Haliotis rufescens (red abalone), 3021 nucleotides long. It is a transcript of the gene named TBC1 domain family member 10B-like, with no coding region annotated. NCBI's taxonomy places the organism in Eukaryota, Metazoa, Mollusca, Gastropoda, Lepetellida, Haliotidae. The transcript has 2 exons. The record is from RefSeq and is a predicted model, not a curated record.